CCCUUAGAUGUUCUGGGCCGCACGCGCGCUACACUGGUGCAGUCAACAAGCUUUCGCAACGAACCUUGGUCGGAAGGCCCGGGGAAUCUUCGAAACUGCAUCGUGAUGGGGAUAGAUUCUUGUAAUUUUUAAUCUUCAACGAGGAAUUCCUAGUAAACGCAAGUCAUCAGCUUGCAUUGAUUACGUCCCUGCCCUUUGUACACACCGCCCGUCGCACCUACCGAUUGAAUGGUCCGGUGAAAUCUCGGGACGGCGGCUUGGUCGCUUGCGUCCGACUGCUGAAACUUGAUUAAACCAUNUNAUUUAGNGGAAGGUGAANUCGUANCA
Molecule: ribosomal RNA, 327 nt
Filed under: uncultured eukaryote
Lineage: Eukaryota
Description: partial 18S ribosomal RNA
Rfam family: Eukaryotic small subunit ribosomal RNA
Source: RNAcentral